This 656-nucleotide ribosomal RNA is filed under the name Annulohypoxylon moriforme. RNAcentral's name for it is "eukaryotic LSU rRNA". The stretch from base 271 to 424 matches the Rfam family "5.8S ribosomal RNA". The record is from RNAcentral. Lineage: Eukaryota; Fungi; Ascomycota; Sordariomycetes; Xylariales; Hypoxylaceae.
CUUGGUCAUUUAGAGGAAGUAAAAGUCGUAACAAGGUCUCCGUUGGUGAACCAGCGGAGGGAUCAUUAGCGAGUUACCACAGAACUCCAAAACCCUUUGUGAACCUUACCGCAGUUGCCUCGGCGAGUGCUGCGGCUAUAUCCCCUGUCCCCCGCCCGUCAGGGCUGCGGGGCAGGCUCUAGCCGAUCCACCAGCCCGUCAAAGGACCCGCUAUCUAAACUCUAAAUUGACUACGUAACUUCUGAAAACUUCCAACUUGAAAUAAGUUAAAACUUUCAACAACGGAUCUCUUGGUUCUGGCAUCGAUGAAGAACGCAGCGAAAUGCGAUAAGUAAUGUGAAUUGCAGAAUUCAGUGAAUCAUCGAAUCUUUGAACGCACAUUGCGCCCACUAGUAUUCUGGUGGGCAUGCCUAUUCGAGCGUCAUUUCGACCCUUAAGCCCUGCGGCUUAGCGUUGGGAGUCCCCGCCCGGCACCGGGCGCGGUUCCCUAAAGUCAUUGGCGGCGUCGCAGCCCACUCUGAGCGUAGUAAUCUACUGUUUCUCGCUCCUGCAGUGGCCGCGGCUGGCUUGCCGUAAAACCCCCUAUAUGUCUUAGUGGUUGACCUCGGAUUAGGUAGGAAUACCCGCUGAACUUAAGCAUAUCAAUAAGCGGAGGA